Molecule: ribosomal RNA, 303 nt
Filed under: uncultured bacterium
Lineage: Bacteria
Description: partial 16S ribosomal RNA
Rfam family: Bacterial small subunit ribosomal RNA
Source: RNAcentral
AGCAGCAGCCACGGUAAUACGAAGGGUGCAAGCGUUACUCGGAAUUACUGGGCGUAAAGCGUGCGUAGGUGGUGGUUUAAGUCCGUUGUGAAAGCCCUGGGCUUAACCUGGGAAUUGCAGUGGAUACUGGGUCACUAGAGUGUGGUAGAGGAUAGUGGAAUUUCCGGUGUAGCAGUGAAAUGCGUAGAGAUCGGAAGGAACAUCUGUGGCGAAGGCGACUAUCUGGGCCAACACUGACACUGAGGCACGAAAGCGUGGGGAGCAAACAGGAUUAGAUACCCGAGUAGUCCCUGUCUCUUAUAC